RNAcentral lists this ribosomal RNA (390 nucleotides) under Yodanoe sp. 659-3 PB-2018. RNAcentral's name for it is "partial 16S ribosomal RNA". It matches the Rfam family "Bacterial large subunit ribosomal RNA", at positions 1959 to 2597 of the family's 2925-position model. The record is from RNAcentral. Lineage: Eukaryota; Metazoa; Annelida; Polychaeta; Phyllodocida; Polynoidae.
GCAUAAUCAUUUGCCCCUUAAUUAGGGGCUAGAAUGAAAGGAUACACGAAAUUCUUACUAUCUCAGUUUUAUUUUUAAAAAUUAAAUUUUAGGUGAAGAUGCCUUUAUUUUUUUGAAAGACAAGAAGACCCUAUAGAGUUUUAAUAGACUAUGUUUUAUAAAUCUAUUUUGGUUGGGGCGACCAAGGAAUAAUCUUCCUUACUUACAAUGAAUAAUACUUCUUUUCAUUAUCCUAUUAUAUAGAACAUAAAAUAAACUACCUUAGGGAUAACAGGCUUAUCUUUCUUAAAAGAUCACAUUGACAGAAAGGUCUGGCACCUCGAUGUUGGCUUAAAGAAUCCUUUAACCGCAACCGGUUAAAUGGUUGGUUCGUUCAACCAUUNANUCUUY